CGGAUUUCAAAAGGGAGGGGCUUGAGAGGGCUGCUCCCCAGCUCAGGUGGCAAAGUGUUGCUCGCUUCUCACGGACAGUUUGGCCAAGCGCUUCCGUUUCCAUUGGUUCCCAAAAUGAUUUGCAAACUGUAUAUAGAGGAAUUGCUCACCAUGGAAAUUCACCCACUUCCAGGAGAGAAUGCAGAAGUCAUUCCAUGCUGACAACCAGUUUAAAUAAAACCACAGAACAGCAUUUCAGCAAUCAGCAGCUUCCUAGAAAAGGGCCCAUUGGCAAGCAUCAUGGAGAAAGAAACAAGGAAGACAGAUGAAUCAGGACAAAGAGAAAGGAAAAGAGGAUGCAAAUCAGAGGAGCACGGAAGAGUCUGAAAUAAAGGCAAAGAGACAAGAAUUCUGAUUAAGAAGCCUUGAAGAGAUCAACAAGGGCCCAGGCUGUUGCUCAGAGGGAUAGCAUUUGCUAAACAUGUGCAGGGCCUCAGGUUUGAUCACAGCAGCACAUCCACACAAAAGCCACUCUAUCACUUCCUGCAGACCCUUCCCCUUUUAUAUAAUUAGAGAAAUACUUCCAAUAGAUGCAUGGUUAUUUGUUGGGGUGGUGGUGGUGAGAAAGGGUCUCAUUAUGUUGAUUAGGUUGGUUUUGAACUUGCUAUGUAACCCAAGCUGGGCUUGAACUUGUGAAUCUCCUGCCUCAGCCUCCUGAGGGCUGGGAUUACAUCCAGGCAGUACCGUGCCCAGCUAGAUACAUGGCUUUUUUAUAACAACAUCUUGCUGUACUGACCUAGAUGUAAGGUGAAAUUCUGUCUUGAGAUAAAGGACCCAAGUCACAAAUCUUCAUUUAUCACAACUAUACUCCCUUAAGCAAGAACUAGGCAACCAUAGGUCUUAUGCUCUCCAGAUACAUGGAAGUAAUUCUUCCUUUAUAUGGGCUAUAUAAUCUUUUAAGACUUGGUUUAAGUUAGACAUUUUUAAUAAGAAGAUUCCACACAGAGAAAAUAUGUGAAACUCAGUCUCCAUAUCUGCAAAAUGGGGAUAAUUAAGAACAUCUGCCCCAUUGAGUUUUGGGGAGGGUUGAAUGCAAAACAUUUAACCCAGUGCCUGGCAUAAAGUUCAGUGCACAGUGAAUGUUUAAUAUUCAUAAUGAAUUUUAAAUUAUGCACAUUGGCUUGUGAACACAGAAGUUUUCUCCAGAGAAUACAAAGAACUGAUGAGGUCAGUUGCAUGGGGAGAGACGCUGGAUGACUGGGGGGAAAAUGUGAGAGGCAGAUAUUUCACACUGCAUAAUCUUUCAUAUCUUUGGAAUUUAAAACCAUGUAAAUGUAUUGCACAUGCAAUGAAGCAUUAAAUGAGUAAAUACAUAAAGUAAAAUGAAAGGCAUUCUGCUAUUCCCAGCUUAAACUUAGAAGUCUCUCAUGAAAUUCAGUUAAGCUUUGUGCAGAUGCGGGUAAGCCCAUCAACAAACAUUAUUGAUUAAGAGGCUGGCAUAUGGUGAAUAAGGCAUGGUCCCUUGUUCCAAGAACCAUGCAGUCCACUUAUCAAGGUAUUAAAAAUACACAAAAAACAAGAACAAUA
This is a long non-coding RNA of Heterocephalus glaber (naked mole-rat), 1566 nucleotides long. Lineage: Eukaryota; Metazoa; Chordata; Mammalia; Rodentia; Bathyergidae. The record is from Ensembl.